UCUUCAGUAGUUUGAAAUAAAAUUAAGGCUUUGGGGGCUUUGGAUCUUAUAGAAGUAAGUUGGAGAA
This 67-nucleotide transfer RNA is filed under the name Tropidomya abbreviata. RNAcentral describes it as "tRNA-Pro". The record is from RNAcentral. Lineage: Eukaryota; Metazoa; Mollusca; Bivalvia; Poromyidae.